CACCGCCCGUCACACCAUGGGAGUGGAUUGCACCAGAAGUGGCUGUGCUAACCCGCAAGGGAGGCGGCCCCCAAGGUGUGGUUCAUGACUGGGGUG
Molecule: ribosomal RNA, 96 nt
Filed under: uncultured bacterium
Lineage: Bacteria
Description: partial 16S ribosomal RNA
Rfam family: Bacterial small subunit ribosomal RNA
Source: RNAcentral